RNAcentral lists this ribosomal RNA (460 nucleotides) under uncultured bacterium. RNAcentral's name for it is "partial 16S ribosomal RNA". It matches the Rfam family "Bacterial small subunit ribosomal RNA", at positions 338 to 795 of the family's 1533-position model. The record is from RNAcentral.
CCUACGGGGGGCAGCAGUGAGGAAUAUUGGUCAAUGGCCGGAAGGCUGAACCAGCCAUGCCGCGUGAAGGUCAGUGCCCUAUGGGCGUUAAACUUCUUUUGUGCGGGAGCAAUAAUGGUCACGUGUGGCCAGACGAGAGUACCGUACGAAUAAGCAUCGGCUAACUCCGUGCCAGCAGCAGCGGUAAUACGGGGGAUGCAAACGUUAUCCGGAUUUAUUGGGUUGAAAGGGUGCGUAGGCUGUGAGUUAAGUCAGCGGUGAAAUGCCCCCGCUCAACGGGGUGAAGUGCCAUUGAUACUGCCUUGCUUGAAUGCGGAUGCCGUGGGAGGAAUGUGUGGUGUAGCGGUGAAAUGCAUAGAUAUCACACAGAACACCGAUUGCGAAGGCAUCUCACGAAUCCGCGAUUGACGCUGAUGCACGAAAGCGUGGGUAUCAAACAGGAUUAGAUACACCAGUAGUC